Molecule: small nuclear RNA, 104 nt
Organism: Equus asinus (donkey)
Lineage: Eukaryota; Metazoa; Chordata; Mammalia; Perissodactyla; Equidae
Source: Ensembl
GUACUCACUUCAGCGGCAUAUACACAAAAAUUGGAAACACACAGAAAAGAUGAGCAGGCUCCCUGCACAAGGAUGACACGCAAACUGGAACAUUCCAUCUUUUU